AAUACGACAGCGCGUUGGCCGAGAAGCACAGACCAAGUGUGACUUGUGAAGAGCUCUCACAGAAAAAAUUAACUGCCUUUCCAAAAUGAGGGUUCUUUCAGGUCUUUCUCUGCUGGUUGUGGUGGCCGUGGCCGUCGCUGCUCCUAGCGACCCAGCGGUCUUAGUGCCCCAGGUGUCCCCAACUGCCCACAGCGUGUCAGGUGUCAGUACCACAGUGAGCAGCGUUGAAGACAAGAACAAGCCCGUGUUUGGAGGCUCCCGGCACACCAUCUUGGGCAGUGAGGACUACAGCGUUGGCGCCAGCCCCGACCACUCUGCUUUCGGUAGCCGACCCACCAGAACUGCCACUGAGGAGUCUCCGCGCCCCAUUGCUGGGCUCACGACCUCCACCAUCAGACCCCUCAGGCCCACACAGCGAUCUGGAAUCCCCAUUCCCCAUGUUCUCCGCGAAGGCCCCAGCGCCCUGGCACAGGUCGGACACCCAUCUCUAAGCGCCAGGAACAGCGGAGAAGACGCCGAGGACACAACUGAGCGUGAUGAGGAGGGACAUGAAUCUUCCGAGACCGACGAUAACAAACGUCACCCUCUGGUCCUCCAGGCGUCGAGGUCGAGGAGUCUCCGCAACUUCGACUUCCGCCCCAUAACCUUCCCCCUCCACGACCCCCCGUCCUUCCAGCCGGCGCCCCUGAGUGCUGCCUACACCUGGAACAAGGUCGACCAGGACGCGGAGGAGGUGUCCGUAGGAGGCGAGGGACACCCGGCGCCGGACCUGAGUCGUGACACAGCCGUCAAUUUCCUUCCUCCGGAUAGGCAAGGGAUGGUCAUGGUCGAGCCUGACGCCGAGGUGUUCGACCUCAACAGCGUCGUCGAGAAGUCGAACGACCUCGAGUUCAGUUAAUCGAUUACACUUGCAUUGCUCAGCGUAUGUUUAGUGACGCGUCGGAUAUUUAAAGUUUAAUUACCAGCUGUUACGACGCAGCCAUUGGGUUGGUGUUUCUUUAAUAACGGUUUAAAUUAUUACUUUGAUGUUUUUCUUCCUUCCACAGUAUUCCAUGGCGCUGGAUCUCUAGACAGUGGAUUACAGUUCUAGUCCUUUUAUUUCAUAUAGUUUCAUGCUUCUUUGUGUAAUUUCGUUUUAUCUGUCUGGCGUGAUGAUGUACAACUUUCGUUCUUUGCUCUCUGCUAUAACUUUAAUGAAAUGUACAACUGUCAAUAAAUAAUUAUUCCUCA
This is a non-coding RNA of Penaeus vannamei (Pacific white shrimp), 1230 nucleotides long. NCBI's taxonomy places the organism in Eukaryota, Metazoa, Arthropoda, Malacostraca, Decapoda, Penaeidae. The record is from RefSeq and is a predicted model, not a curated record.